GACGAACGCUGGCGGCGUGCUUAACACAUGCAAGUCGAACGGAAAGGCCCUGCUUUUGUGGGGUGCUCGAGUGGCGAACGGGUGAGUAACACGUGAGUAACCUGCCCUUGACUUUGGGAUAACUUCAGGAAACUGGGGCUAAUACCGGAUAGGAGCUCCUGCUGCAUGGUGGGGGUUGGAAAGUUUCGGCGGUUGGGGAUGGACUCGCGGCUUAUCAGCUUGUUGGUGGGGUAGUGGCUUACCAAGGCUUUGACGGGUAGCCGGCCUGAGAGGGUGACCGGCCACAUUGGGACUGAGAUACGGCCCAGACUCCUACGGGAGGCAGCAGUGGGAAAUAUUGCACAAUGGGCGGAAGCCUGAUGCACCAACGCCGCGUGCGGGAUGACGGCCUUCGGGUUGUAAACCGCUUUCGCCUGUGACGAAGCGUGAGUGACGGUAAUGGGUAAAGAAGCACCGGCUAACUACGUG
RNAcentral lists this ribosomal RNA (468 nucleotides) under uncultured bacterium. Its description in RNAcentral is "partial 16S ribosomal RNA". It matches the Rfam family "Bacterial small subunit ribosomal RNA", at positions 28 to 507 of the family's 1533-position model. The record is from RNAcentral.